UAAUCGACGAAUGACGUUACUGACCAAUUAUGACCAAAUAUUGACGUCAAAAUGACGAGUGCUUGCUACCUGGGAUGCUGGAAUUUGGAUGACGACUGUUCCUUCUGAGAUCGGCCGUUUUGUCGACACCCGAGUGGUGAUAUGCGAACACGACUUUGUUAGCUCGAUCGUGUCCGAAACUUGAGAGAUGAGUGUUACUUCGAUCACGGCCAAACGCCGAGCGCACACGUACACGGCUGCUCGCUUGUGUGCGUAUGCUGUAAGCGGCUUGAAUCUAACAUCUUUGGUCCAGACCGCGGUGGCGCGGUGCUGUUUUCUUUCUAUUUCGGGCUGCGUUCGGAUUUUUGAGCCGCCUGAGCGGUCUUGAAAUUAAAUUAAAUUGGCUUUCGUGCCAGGUCGGUCCACUUGGUCUACACAUAGCAAGACUGCUACGUGUGUGUGUGACCUUAGCUAGUGUCUCUUUUAUUAUAAAAUAACAAAAUACCCAAUUAUUCCGACAAAUAUCGAUAUGCGACAAUGGCGGAAUAAAUUAUAAUUAACGUGUCGCCUCAUUACAGUCCGAAAUAAUUAUACAAUGCGGAUAAAUCGUCCGUAGGCAAGCGAACGAUUAUAAUAAUUGAACUAAAUUUCAGGGAAAUUCUGUACGUUUCUUGCCUACGGCACGUUGGGGCUAAUUAAAGACCAUUCAUCCAUACGUAAUUAUAAAAAGUACUGGAUCGCGCGAGAGGACGUACAAAUCACAAAUGCAAUUGUAUCCUCAUUUAUGCUCACAUCGUUCGCAUAAUCGCUGAGAUUAAAGCAGUAUACAGGUUACACAAAAUCAAUCUCAUAAUUUACAAAUUUACAUAAUGAAAUUCUUUGACCGGUAUCUGAAAACAGAGCAAUGACGGGAAGUAAAUCACGACUCAUCUAAACGUCCACCAGAUGUUGAAGCACAUCGUGUUCAGCCAGAAGAAAGCAGCCAGGAAGAAGAAGUGUGCCAUGAUUGCUGAAACAUAACGAGACAGCCUCGUUAGCUUUACGAAUAUUUAAAGAGGUUUAGGAGAUUUACUUUUCUUCCUUAUAUAAGAAUAUUACAUUUUGUAACGGAUAAACGGAGCUCGUCGAACAAAGACGCCGUCGGUUUUCAGUACCUCGAUGCGUUCUUAAAGAUUUAUAAACCGUGGAGACACGUGAAAAGGCGAAUUUCGAGGGUGCGACACGCCAGCAAAGGGUCGGACAAAAACAUUGAUCGCGAUUUCUCUAACAAUAAGUGUAAUAAAAACUAUCUAUCGAGCAUACUGGCCCAGUUUACAUCGAUUACUUGAUACGCAUAUUAAAUAGUAAAUAAUUAGUAAAUUAGUUUAAUUAUUGGCUGAUCAGCUCAAAUAUAUUACUUAAUACGCGUAUCAAGAGAUCGAUGUAAAUUAGACCACUGACUCUUUAUCGUUUAAAAUAAUCCAUUGCCCAACAUAUGUAUGUGUGUGAGUAUGUGGAGGGGGAGGGGAGGUUGAUCUAAAUCUAAUUGUAAGAAAGACAGUCAAUUGAUCGAGUAGGUAACGUUGAAAAAAAAUUUUUUUCUUAAAAAUAUUGAAAGAUUUUAAGCAUGUAAUUGAAGUAAAAAAAAAUGAUUCUUUAACGCUUCGGGAUAAAGAAAUUGCGUGGGCUGAAAUCUGUAAGCGCUACAACAAAUCUACAAUGAUUUUUUGACAAGAGAUAAAUAUAAAAGAAAGGUUAUUUUGAAUUGUAAGAUUACUAUUCGACAAAAAUAGAGCUAAAGCGGCAAUUCUAUGUAGAUCAUUGUGUGAAGCGAAAACGUUCGGACGCAUUAUCGUUUUGUUAAAUUUGUUGAAAUAAAUUCUUCUUUUCCUAAAUACCGAUUUGUUCUUUCCGGUGAACCGGCUUCAAAUACUCUACAUUAGUACAUUUCUAAUAUAUACUAUUUCUAUUUGCACAUAACAGGGCGUACGAAACGUGUAUGAGUACAUCAGGCGAAAAGUAGAUUAAGCAAAAUUUGUAAAGGGUUGGGUAUGUCCCUUCAAAACGCCAUAUGUGUGGAUAAGAUAAAGUGUUGGAAGGAGAGUGUACAGGGUUGGGUACGUCCCUAUGAAAACGCCCUUUAAGACCCCUUUGGGGUAAAUAAAGUACCAUUAUCUAUCUA
Molecule: long non-coding RNA, 2140 nt
Organism: Temnothorax curvispinosus
Lineage: Eukaryota; Metazoa; Arthropoda; Insecta; Hymenoptera; Formicidae
Exons: 2
Source: RefSeq, a predicted model, not a curated record